Molecule: ribosomal RNA, 823 nt
Filed under: uncultured bacterium
Lineage: Bacteria
Description: bacterial SSU rRNA
Rfam family: Bacterial small subunit ribosomal RNA
Source: RNAcentral
UNUGGAAACUGUCUGACUUGAGUGCAGAAGGGGAGAGUGGAAUUCCAUGUGUAGCGGUGAAAUGCGUAGAUAUAUGGAGGAACACCAGUGGCGAAAGCGGCUNUCUGGUCUGUCACUGACGCUGAGGCUCGAAAGCGUGGGUAGCGAACAGGAUUAGAUACCCUGGUAGUCCACGCCGUAAACGAUGAGUGCUAGGUGUUAGGCCCUUUCCGGGGCUUAGUGCCGGAGCUAACGCAAUAAGCACACCGCCUGGGGAGUACGACCGCAAGGUUGAAACUCAAAGGAAUUGACGGGGGCCCGCACAAGCGGUGGAGCAUGUGGUUUAAUUCGAAGCAACGCGAAGAACCUUACCAGGUCUUGACAUCCCGAUGCUAUUCUUAGAGAUAGGAAGUUACUUCGGUACAUCGGAGACAGGUGGUGCAUGGUUGUCGUCAGCUCGUGUCGUGAGAUGUUGGGUUAAGUCCCGCAACGAGCGCAACCCUUAUUGUUAGUUGCCAUCAUUAAGUUGGGCACUCUAGCGAGACUGCCGGUAAUAAACCGGAGGAAGGUGGGGAUGACGUCAAAUCAUCAUGCCCCUUAUGACCUGGGCUACACACGUGCUACAAUGGUCGGUACAACGAGUUGCGAGCCGGUGACGGCAAGCUAAUCUCUGAAAGCCGAUCUCAGUUCGGAUUGGAGGCUGCAACUCGCCUCCAUGAAGUCGGAAUCGCUAGUAAUCGCGGAUCAGCACGCCGCGGUGAAUACGUUCCCGGGCCUUGUACACACCGCCCGUCACACCACGAGAGUUUGUAACACCCGAAGUCGGUGAGGUANCCUUUUAGGG